UGCCAGCAGCCGCGGUAAUACCAGCACCUCAAGUGGUCAGGAUGAUUAUUGGGCCUAAAGCAUCCGUAGCCGGCUCUGUAAGUUUUCGGUUAAAUCUGUACGCUCAACGUACAGGCUGCCGGGAAUACUGCAGAGCUAGGGAGUGGGAGAGGUAGACGGUACUCGGUAGGAAGGGGUAAAAUCCUUUGAUCUAUUGAUGACCGCCUGUGGCGAAGGCGGUCUACCAGAACACGUCCGACGGUGAGGGAUGAAAGCUGGGGGAGCAAACCGGAUUAGAUA
Molecule: ribosomal RNA, 279 nt
Filed under: uncultured bacterium
Lineage: Bacteria
Description: partial 16S ribosomal RNA
Rfam family: Archaeal small subunit ribosomal RNA
Source: RNAcentral